GACGAACGCUGGCGGCGUGCCUAAUACAUGCAAGUCGAGCGCAGGAAGUCAUCCGAACCCUUCGGGGGGACGUUGACGGAAUGAGCGGCGGACGGGUGAGUAACACGUAAAGAACCUGCCCUCAGGUCUGGGAUAACCACGAGAAAUCGGGGCUAAUACCGGAUGGGUCAUCGGACCGCAUGGUUCGAGGAUGAAAGGCGCUUCGGCGUCGCCUGGGGAUGGCUUUGCGGUGCAUUAGCUAGUUGGUGGGGUAAUGGCCCACCAAGGCGACGAUGCAUAGCCGACCUGAGAGGGUGAUCGGCCACACUGGGACUGAGACACGGCCCAGACUCCUACGGGAGGCAGCAGUAGGGAAUCUUCCACAAUGGACGAAAGUCUGAUGGAGCAACGCCGCGUGAACGAUGAAGGCCCUCGGGUCGUAAAGUUCUGUUGUAAGGGAAGAACAAGUGCCGCAGGCAAUGGCGGCA
This 467-nucleotide ribosomal RNA is filed under the name Bacillus sp. oral taxon B77. RNAcentral's name for it is "bacterial SSU rRNA". It matches the Rfam family "Bacterial small subunit ribosomal RNA", at positions 28 to 477 of the family's 1533-position model. Lineage: Bacteria; Bacillati; Bacillota; Bacilli; Caryophanales; Bacillaceae. The record is from RNAcentral.